GAUUUGGAACAAAGUGUUCCUAGAUUCACAGCGUACUCCAUACCAACAAAUUGGCAUCCAUAAUCAAUGGAGAAUGACUAAAUGGAUUAAAACUGGUCGAGGAUCAAAACAAGGAGACCUAUUGUUUCCUUUCCUAUUCAUUUUGGUUUCAUGUGUCCUUGAUAGAAUACUUAAACUAGCAGCAACAAAUGGGGUGAUCGCUCGAAUUGGCACAUUAGACACCUCAGGCAACAUUCGCUGCAUACAAUACACAGAUGAUACCAUCAUCCUUUGCAAUGACUCCA
Molecule: long non-coding RNA, 284 nt
Filed under: Elaeis guineensis (African oil palm)
Lineage: Eukaryota; Viridiplantae; Streptophyta; Magnoliopsida; Arecales; Arecaceae
Description: long non-coding RNA (EGUI_LNC039769)
Source: RNAcentral